This is a long non-coding RNA of Halichondria panicea, 2094 nucleotides long. RefSeq lists it as uncharacterized. The transcript has 2 exons. The record is from RefSeq and is a predicted model, not a curated record. NCBI's taxonomy places the organism in Eukaryota, Metazoa, Porifera, Demospongiae, Suberitida, Halichondriidae.
CUGUACAUGUAGCCUGCGCCUAUAGCCAACUAGUCUGGCCCCGGACCACUCCCUUGCACGUGAUCUGACAUGUGCCAGGGAGAAGGUCUGGCAUUUAGAGUCACUUUUCUUGGUUCAGAUGUCAACAUUUGUGGGAAAAAGGACAUCUUGGAGCCGAUAUUGGUAUUGAGCAAUAGCCUGAUUUAUGGACUGCAGUGUAUAAUCUCAUAAUAAUUUUUCUUGGCUUAUAGUUAUGUUUAAAUCUCAACAAUUGUAGCCUGCUCCAAUAUGGCCUUUUUCCCAGAGCCUGCCACAUUUCUCCAAUCAGAUUCCCAAGAAUGCAAUUAAACUGUCACAUGAUUCCACUUCACAGAGGAGGUUGAUAGUACUUGACCUUUGUCAUUUUUAAAACUAUGCCAGUAGGCAAUGGCUAACUUAAAUUCCUGUAUACAUCAACUAAAAAUGUUAUUUCAAGUACAGAGAAUCUUUCAAAUCUCACUAAAUCUGUAUAGGACCAGCCAGUUUUAGUAUUGUCACCACGCCCAUUUCCGACACGCCCACUUUUGACUGUCUGAAAACCUGUGACUCUGUUUGCCAGAAGACUCUCUCCCCCCCCCCCCCCCCGGGAGAAGAUAAAAGUACUAAUGAAUCCACCCACGCGAAAACGGUGGUUACCAGGACCUCUAGUGAGAGGGGCUGGGAUCGAGGCUAGCACUUUUUGAUUAUUCUCUUCUUUUGCCAUUAUCUUGGUUUAUUUAAUUAAUUUCAGACCUUCAGUUCUAGCACUCUGUUUUGAGGGUAUUUCUUUCUCCUCUAUGUUCUACUUACUCUGUUGAUUGCCGUGGAGUUCUAUUAUCGCUGACAGAUCAACUCCUCAUUGCAUGCUCAAGCAGCUUCUGUCGUACUUUUGGUCAGAGGGUAUUUCAUGAUCCACCACGACACAAGGUAUACUCUUACAAAUGUGCAUGUAUAUAUAUAUAGACUGUUAUUGGUCGCCUCAACAGAGACCUUCUUUUUCUCAAACAUGCAUGCAAGUGUGUUUUAUCAGGAGCCCAUAAAGAGAAGGAGCGGCCAACUUCAACGUACACUCGGGGAUCACAUCUCGUAAUUGCCGGUGAAACCGCACUUCCUUGUAUGGAAGCGACUAAGUGCUUGCAAACCGCAUCCCUGCAUUGCGUAUAACACGUGUAGGGAUUCAACCACUUAAGUGACCCUGCAUAUAUGGAAAUGCGGUCAUAACCACUUACGAGACGUGAUCCCCGUAGUUAGCCGCUCCUUCUCUUUAUGGGCUCCUGGUUUUAUUGAACUAACUAACUGCAUAAAUUAUUUGUCUUUCUAUUAUACAGGCCAAGUUUGGAAUGGCAGUUGUAGUAAUCGUGCUCAAUACUCUACUGUAAGUGUGACCAUUCAAUGGCCAGCUUAUAAUUAUUAUAAUCCUGUAUAGGGCUUACGUUGGCUAUAGCUCACAGACAUCCAAGUUUGCGUUCUAUAUAUGCUCAUGAUCAUCAUUUCCAACUGUACAAUGUGGCAUGCAGAUAUACUAUUUCAUCACAAACUUAAGGCUGUUUUUGGGGAGCUAAAGUACAGGAAACUAACCAAGACUGCUUUAUUCGGUGCAUGGUCUUCAUAUUCUCUCCUGGGCGUUUGCUUUAAUAUUCUUCUCAAUCGAUGGUAUUGAUUGGGCUGCCUCUGCGGCCGUCUCCAGGGACUACAAUAAAGAGUGCAUUCUGUUUGGAUUCUACGAUGCUCACGAUUUGUGGCACCUUUUUUCGGGGUUUGUGGCAUUUUUCAGCACUAUGCAACUUAUGACUAUGGACGAUGAGCUGGAGAUAUGGCCCAGGGAUAAAAUUAUGACCUUUUGAUCUAACUUGUGCUAUAGUGCAUUUGGCCUGGACAUAUCACGUGACUCCAAUGACCACAAUGCACUGAAUUCGAACUUAUAGUGAUUCAUGCACGCAUGUCGGACCUCCUCUGUGUAAUUGUAUAUAUAGAGCAAUUAUUUUUGCUGUCAACUAGUAUAUAGUGUGUAUAAUUAUAAUUAUAGUGUAUUCUAGCCAAGGAAGCAUUCAGGUGUCGUCCAUGCACUGAUGUAAUAUAAUAAUAUUUAGAAACGUA